Sebastes umbrosus (honeycomb rockfish) is the source of this 590-nucleotide long non-coding RNA. RefSeq lists it as uncharacterized. The transcript has 4 exons. Lineage: Eukaryota; Metazoa; Chordata; Actinopteri; Perciformes; Sebastidae. The record is from RefSeq and is a predicted model, not a curated record.
GUAAAACUGUGACUUGACAGUCUAACAGCACGUUGAGGAUAACAGCUACGGAGCAACAUUAUCAUUCAUCUGGAGUUGUGUUUCUGGUCACCUCAUGAAUAAUAAAAGCAUAAAAUUGGACAUCAGCUCAUCUGAGCCCACACACAUCUGGACCCAGUCUGUGUACCAGAAUUACCCAGAAGGCAUGCGGUGUGUUUCAGCCGGUCAGAAGGAAAUAGAGAAGAUGCCUUGCAGUCACGUGACUUCUGACGAUGUCCGUUGUGGUCGCCGCCAUGUUGGGUACCGAUGUUAUACAGUUAGGUACAUAAUGCUAGCACUCUUCACCGCCAAUGUCACUCCUUUAUCACCGCAAACAGAAAAGGUAUGCAGAGAAUAUAUCAGUAAUUGGAUGUGAUCCUUACGGAAUCUCUCCUGAGCUUUUCCAGCCACUGAUCUCAUCAGAGACUGCCGGACUUUGCAUUUCUUGACAUUUAUAUCUACCUAGUACACCGCUACUCUAUAGCUCAUGCCUCAGGCCGAUGCCUUUAGGAUGAGUGCGGUACGAUUCAUCCACCAGAUCGACUAGGCCGUGUUUUCACAUGCAAGGAUAG